Molecule: long non-coding RNA, 1225 nt
Filed under: Oryza sativa Indica Group (long-grained rice)
Lineage: Eukaryota; Viridiplantae; Streptophyta; Magnoliopsida; Poales; Poaceae
Description: lncRNA OsMH63_01G003760
Source: RNAcentral
AUGGCGGACGACGGCGGCAUCAUCGCGGCAUUGCCGGAGGACGUCCUCCUCCAGGUCCUCUCCCGCGUGGCCGACGUCAAGAGCCUCUUCAUGCUCGCCGCCACAUGCCGCCGCUGGCUCCGCCGCUUCACCGACCGCGCCUUCCUCCGCGACCUCUGGGGCGGCCAGCGCGCCGGCGACCUCCUCGGCUUCUUCUUCCACCUGCAGCGCAUCAAGGUCUCGACAUUCGGCUUCCUGCCGGUGCCGACCUCGCCGCUCCGCCCCCUCGCCUCCUCCGGCUCCUCCAACUCCGUCCAGCCACUGGCGGCGCGCCGCGGCGUCCUCCUGAUGCGGCUUCCCAUCACCCGCCUCCUCUUCCUCUCCAACCCCGUCACCGGCGAGCGCCACGUGGUCCCGCGCCUGGAGGAGUACUCCGACCUUGGUCCCUACAAGGUCACCAGCUACGCCAUCGUCGUCUCCGACGACCUCGCCGGGAAGCCGCAGCAGCCGGCAUCGUCAGGCCGCUUCACGUUCUCGCAGCUGCUCCAUCACCAUGUACGUCAACUCUACUCCGCCGCCGGCGGCUGGGCCGCGCCCGCCGAGUUCCUGGAUCUCCUCCGCUUCUCGCUGGCGGGCAGAUCGACGCCAUCCGCCGUCGUUCACCGCGGCGCGGCGCACUGGCUGUGCACCGACGACGUCGCGAGCGCCACCCGAGGCGACCGCCUGUACAAGCUCAGCGUGGAGGUGGGCGUGCCGGCCGCAGCCACGCCGCGCGUCUCCAUGACGAAUCUCCCCGUCCGCGCCGGCGGCGCGACGGCGACGCUGCUCUGCGUCGGCGGGGACGGCGAGCUCACCAUCGCCUGCGUGUUCCCCAUGCACGUCAGAAUCUGGAAGCAGCAGCGACGCGGCGAUGGCGAUGGCGACGGCGGCGACGAUGCGGCGGCGUGGCGCCGCGACGUGAUGUGGAUGACAUUGCCGGCGCCUUACCCAUACUGCGUGCCGCUGAUGCAUGGCUUGGACAUGGGAUCGGUGGCCAUGAUGUACAGGAGCAGCGGCGCCGUGUUCGUCGUCGACCUCGACAAGAAGGUGAUCGACAAGGCCAUGGACUGCUUCCUGCCCCUGCGAAUUGACCGCGAGAUGGAUCUGCCGCCUGUGCCGUACGAGAUGGACUUGGUGGAGUUCUUUCUGCUCCAGCUUGGUGACCUAUGUGGAGGAGGGUCUAAAUCUACAGGAUAAUUACACAGGU